Streptococcus pyogenes MGAS2096 is the source of this 99-nucleotide non-coding RNA. The record is from Rfam. NCBI's taxonomy places the organism in Bacteria, Bacillati, Bacillota, Bacilli, Lactobacillales, Streptococcaceae.
GUUCUACAGAUGUGAUUACUUCAAGUAAGCAGGCUAGAGACAUAACAAUCAGAAUAUUAAAGGAUGUUAUCACAGUUUUGUGAGCAGGGACCUAUUCGA